AAAGUCGUAACAAGGUCUCCGUUGGUGAACCAGCGGAGGGAUCAUUACCGAGUUUAAUACACUCAAACCCAUCGCGGACCCGAAACUGUUGCUUCGGCGGGCUGCCUGCCUGGCGGGCGCCCGCCAGAGGUUUAAGCUCUUUGGCUCUUGGACUCUAGUCAUCUGAAUUACGCUUCUAAACUAGUCAAAACUUUCAACAACGGAUCUCUUGGUUCUG
This 217-nucleotide unclassified non-coding RNA is filed under the name Ascomycota sp. Its description in RNAcentral is "partial contains small subunit ribosomal RNA, internal transcribed spacer 1, and 5.8S ribosomal RNA". The stretch from base 1 to 47 matches the Rfam family "Eukaryotic small subunit ribosomal RNA", at positions 1785 to 1831 of the family's 1831-position model. The record is from RNAcentral. Lineage: Eukaryota; Fungi; Ascomycota.